This 492-nucleotide ribosomal RNA is filed under the name uncultured bacterium. RNAcentral describes it as "partial 16S ribosomal RNA". It matches the Rfam family "Bacterial small subunit ribosomal RNA", at positions 29 to 507 of the family's 1533-position model. The record is from RNAcentral.
AGUGAACGCUGGCGGUAGGCCUAACACAUGCAAGUCGAACGGCAGCACAGUAAGAGCUUGCUCUUACGGGUGGCGAGUGGCGGACGGGUGAGGAAUACAUCGGAAUCUACUUUUUCGUGGGGGAUAACGUAGGGAAACUUACGCUAAUACCGCAUACGACCUACGGGUGAAAGCAGGGGACCUUCGGACCUUGCGCGAUUGAAUGAGCCGAUGUCGGAUUAGCUAGUUGGCGGGGUAAAGGCCCACCAAGGCGACGCUCCGUAGCUGGUCUGAGAGGAUGAUCAGCCACACUGGAACUGAGACACGGUCCAGACUCCUACGGGAGGCAGCAGUGGGGAAUAUUGGACAAUGGGCGCAAGCCUGAUCCAGCCAUGCCGCGUGGGUGAAGAAGGCCUUCGGGUUGUAAAGCCCUUUUGUUGGGGAAGAAAAGCAGCAGGUUAAUACCCCGCUGUUCUGACGGUACCCAAAGAAUAAGCACCGGCUAACUUCGUG